RNAcentral lists this ribosomal RNA (368 nucleotides) under uncultured Glomeromycotina. RNAcentral's name for it is "LSU rRNA". The record is from RNAcentral. Lineage: Eukaryota; Fungi; Glomeromycota.
UGAAAAGGGAAACGAUUGAAGUCAGUCAUGCUAGUGAAAAAUCAGUUUGACGGGUUUUGAGUUCUUGAGUAGAGGCAGGGUCAAACCGUUUCUCUUUUGAACUUGGGAUUUGUUAGAUGUACUUUUUCUUUGGCAGGUCAACGUCGGUUUCGGGGGUUGUAAAAUACUUGGGGGAAAGUAGCUCUGCUUCGGGAGAGUGUUAUAGACCCUGGGAGAUGCAGCCUGCGGGAUCGAGGAUUGCAGCAAAUGCCUUUGGCUUGUCGCCUGUUCCUGGGUGUUACCUCUCUUGUGACAACAUUCUUGCCACCGGAGGGUUCUAAUGCUCACUGUUUAGUGCGAUCAAAAAUUUUGCUAAGGAUGUUGACGUA